GUGCCAGCCGCCGCGGUAAUACGAAGGGUGCGAACGUUAUUCGGAANANUGGGCGUAAAGGGUGCGUAGGCGGCAUGUUAAGUCAAUUGUUAAAUACCCCGGCCUAACUGGGGAUCAGCAGUAGAUACUGGUGUGCUAGAGGAUGGAAGAGAGAAGUGGAAUUCUUGGAGUAGCGGUAAAAUGUGUAGAUCUCAAGAGGAACACCAAUGGCGAAGGCAGCUUCUUAGUCCAUAUCUGACGCUGAUGCACGAAAGCGUGGGGAGCAAACAGGAUUAGAUACCCUGGUAGUCCACGCCGUAAACGAUGAUCACUAGACGUUAGUCUUGUUUUGCAAGAUUAGUGUCGUAGCUAACGCGAUAAGUGGUCCGCCUGGGGAUUACGGUCGCAAGAUUAAAACUCAAAGGAAUUGACGGGGGUCCGCACAAGCGGUGGAACAUGUGGUUUAAUUCGACACUACGCGAGGAACCUUACCUAGGUUUGACAUGCUUAUGAUCGCUACAGAGAUGUAGUUUUCUGGGGGUAACCCUAGACAUUUGCACAGGUGCUGCAUGGCUGUCGUCAGCUCGUGUCGUGAGAUGUUGGGUUAAGUCCUAUAACGAGCGCAACCCUUGCUAUCAGUUGCUACUCUGUGAAGAGGCACUCUGAUGGGACUGCCUGGGAAACCAGGAGGAAGGUGGGGAUGAUGUCAAGUCCGCAUGGUCCUUAUGCCUAGGGCAACACACGUGUUACAAUGGCCAAUACAAAGGGUUGCGAAGCCGUAAGGUGGAGCUAAUCUCAUAAAGUUGGUCUAAGUUCGGAUUGAGGUCUGUAACUCGACCUCAUGAAGUUGAAAUCGCUAGUAAUCGCAUAUCAGAACGAUGCGGUGAAUACGUUCUCGGACCUUGUACACACUGCCCGUCACACCACGAAAGCUGUUUGUGCCCGAAGAUAUUUUAGCUAACUCGUAAGAGAGGCGGGUAUUUGAAGGUAUGGAGAGUGAUUGGGGUGAAGUCGUAACAAGGUAACC
Molecule: ribosomal RNA, 1006 nt
Filed under: uncultured bacterium
Lineage: Bacteria
Description: bacterial SSU rRNA
Rfam family: Bacterial small subunit ribosomal RNA
Source: RNAcentral